Molecule: long non-coding RNA, 1640 nt
Organism: Stegostoma tigrinum
Lineage: Eukaryota; Metazoa; Chordata; Chondrichthyes; Orectolobiformes; Stegostomatidae
Exons: 5
Source: RefSeq, a predicted model, not a curated record
ACAACAGCUCAUUACGGAAAAAAUACCAAGCAUCAGCGCUUCCGGGAUCAGAGCUCAGAACAAAAACCGGCCUCUACCAAUCCAAACUCAGAGAGAGAGAGAGAGAGAGAGUGUGUGUGGGUGGAGACAAACACUUUACUUACAAUGAUUGUGCUGUCGAGCUUGGUAUAUUUGAAGCCACAAAAUACUGCUCCGCAGGUUAUUAAAUACCGUUUGGGGUUGGGGCGGAGGGUUGUGCUGCUCACGUUAAAGAGCAUGGAAACGUGUAUUUAGUUCCUUUACUACAGGUAUAAUAGAUCAUAGAAUCUCUGUAUUGUCGGGACAGGCCGUUCGUCCCAACAAGUCCACACUGGAGUAUCCCACCCAAGCUAGACAUCCAUGAACACUACGGACAAUUGAGCAUAGCCAAUCCACCUCGCCUGCACAUCUUUGGACUGUGGGAGGAAACCGGAACACCCCGGAGAAAACAAACACAGGCAGAAUGUGCAAACUCCACACAGUCGCUCGAGGGUGGAAUCGAGUGCAGCAACGCCAACCACUGAACCACCGUGCCGCCCACAUUGUGUACCAACACACAUAAAACUUUCUUUCUUCCGAAUUGAAAAGAAAUGAAAAAAUUGUUAAAAUACCUACAGUUGCUCAAGCAAAUAGAAUUCAGGGGUGUAAGGCCAAAAAUGUUCAGCAGUCACACAAGGAAUUUACAGAUGGUGCACCUGAAACUCGUUCUUUUGGAUGCUGCCAGAGCUGUUGAGCUUUUCCAGAAACUUUGUCUUUGUUGUUGAGAACUUUUCCUGUUUUUUCUUCUACCUCCAACAACCUCCAUCUGAGGCACAAGGUCUUCCAAGAGGUGACGACAUAUCCAGAUGAAAGCAUUAAUUUUGAUGUAGUCUACUUGGACCUCAGCAAGACAUUUUAAGAGAUCCCAAUUGGAGACUAAGAAAAGUGAAAUGAAGAAAAGAAUAACAACCCUAGUCUGAAUCAAAUUAAGAGUCAAUACUAACCACGGUAGUACUCACUGAAUUGGGGACAGUUUCUUGCCAAGUGCUUUGCUGAUGACUUGCUUUCUGAGAACUGACAACACAGUGCACUAGUCAUAUUCUGAGACUCAUGAGGCACCUGGGACAAUGGCUUCACAGUGAAAUUCCAUCUUAGUUUACAUAUUAACAUGGAACUUGAACAUAUCAUCUUUAAAAUUUAAGGUAAAAUUAUGACUACUGAGCCAAGCUGAUGAGAAUAACAUUGACAAGAUUUGUUGAAUUUCUUUCUGUCAAGACAAUGUCAAAGAUUUGUGCAACAGCAUUUGGGAGAACAUUUGCAGAUAGUUUGUGGAGUUACUAUGUUACAUAUCCUCCUGUACCCUGAAAGUAUGUCCAUAAAUGAAAACCAUGACAGCAAAACUAGGACAAGACAAGUUGGGAAAAUGCCAUUAUGAAAGCCACUAUUGUGCCUGCUCCAAUAAUUGGUCCUUUGAAACUAAAACCAGAUGCCUUCCAAAGAAGGAGUCAGCUAAAACAUUUCAUAAUGGAAUAAGCCAUAUUUGCCAAAGACCUGUACCCAAAAUACCAUGUCAAGUAGUCUCUUGAAAAUGUCCUUGAAAGUGAACACAGAAUACUGGAGAAACUCAGUAGGUCUGGGAGCAU